CUCAAGUCCAGCUGUGGCCAAGCUUCUUGUUGCCCCUUCUCUGGCAGUGCUUCUCAGCGGCAUCACCAGCGUUGGUGGCCGUCGGGAGGCACACUAGCUGGAACUUUAUGAGCAGGCAGGAGGCACACUAGCUGGAAGUCUGGAAAUUAAUGAGCAGGUCAUGCCGCUUACGGUUGUCAAAGAACUUGAUCUUGAAGCUUACAAGACCUUCUUUUUUUCUUUUGUGGGAAUUGUGUAUUAUGAAUUUAUGAUGAUGGGAAGAUUGUUUCUUGUUAACAAAGUGUAUAUUUCAACAAAACUGUUGUUGUAUGGCCUUGUGGUCAAAGUGUACAUUCUAAUAAAUUUCUGUUCAUUUUUAGA
This is a long non-coding RNA of Quercus lobata, 360 nucleotides long. RefSeq lists it as uncharacterized. The record is from RefSeq and is a predicted model, not a curated record. The transcript has 2 exons. NCBI's taxonomy places the organism in Eukaryota, Viridiplantae, Streptophyta, Magnoliopsida, Fagales, Fagaceae.